UAAAAAAACUUUUUAAAAACUACAUUUCAUUAUGAUACCAGAAUGAACAUACAGGUUCAUACACUUUGUGGGUGAAAGACAUGAAAUUUUUGGCUUUAAGGUGUUGGUGCUGGGCCUUAGGCUGCAUUAGUAGCAGAAUGAAAGAAUAAUUUGCACCAAAAUAGGGCUUAUUAUCACCUGAGUUUCAUUAUACUAAUUAUCUGACAGAAUCAUCUGUAAACAAUCUGCAGGUCUGACCACCUCUCUACAGACACAGAUUAUCUGCACAGUCAUUGAGUAGUAAACAACACGAAUCCAUGAAGUUGUUCAAAUCUCACUAAAACCCCAGCAGUUUCUUUCAGCUUCCCUAUGGCUACACCCAGCAAGCUUACUGGAAAACAAAGGUUAUUUUUACUAAGUGUGCUCAGGGAUAAUUUGCAUCUAAUAAACUAAUCUUCAUAUGACAUCUACUGCAUAGUCACAAAGAAGGCACAGAAGACAUUCUAACUACUAGCAACAAAAGAACUGCCUUCUCCCAACAAAAAUCCAUCAGACACAAAUCUUCAAACAUCACUCAAAAGAAGAAAAUAAUGUUGGAUAGUCAAAUAACAUUUUUAUACACUUCAUUCUAAUUUUCCCUCACUGCUCUCUCAAAGUGCUAUUAUGGAGUCAGCAUAUGAGAAGACAGAUGACCAGAGAGGCCUGCAUCCUGUGGUAGCCGAAGAUGAUCCAGCUGCGAGGCUUGGUGGGACUAACUGAACUCGAGGUUCCAAGUGGAAUUCUGAUGUCAAGUUGAAUUCUGAUGUUGGUGUGCUUGGCCUGAGGAGGUCUGGUGAGGCCCCUGAUGGCACCAAUCAGGCAGAGAUGGCAAACUUGGGGUUGGGUGAGCAUAUGGAAUGGCAGUUAUUGGUUUGGAAACUAAAAAAGAGUGCUAUUUUGAUAAUAUGGUCGAAAAAACCUCUGAGGGAAGUAACACUUGAGCAGAGACCUAGAUGGUGGGAAGGCCACAGAAGAGAUGGCUAAAGAGCAUUGUGCGAGAAGAUGAGAUGAAUUUGGUAUUGCUUUUGGAGACUCAGAGGUGCUUAACCAGGAAGUAAGCUACCAGAAGCCAGGAACUCAAUAACUUGAUUUAGCGAACAUCAUUCACAUUUCCAAAGAUCGAUCAGCCUGAAGAAUGGACAAGAUCAAGUUUCUGGACGUGCAAGGCUAAAGCCAGAUUCUGAGCCAAGGGGAAUUUAUCAAGGAAAUGUUACGUUAUACAGCCUCUUAGCAGCCAACUGGCUGGCUUUCCAUGGGAACACCCCAAAUUAUGCUCCUCUGUUUUGACCUUUUGACAUGAAAGCUUUGGGAAUUUUUUAAAGACGGAUAAGACAUGGUCAGAUUUGUGUUUUGGAAAGAUGGCUCUGGUGGCAAUAUGAAUGAUGAUGACGUUGGGAAAUGGGCAGAAGUUGAGGACCUGCUUUUGUUAUAAUCCAGGUAAGGGUUACUGUGGGCCUGAUCUGAAACAAAGGGAAGGGGGAUAGAGGGUGGGUUCGAAGACUUGAGGAGGCAGGAUGAGCAGGACAAUAUGGGCAAUUUGGUUAUGAAAAUAUGAAAGGACUUUGUCCAGUUUGGGCUCUUAACUUUAAAUGGCCAUACUUCAGUUUUAAGGAAACAUACUUCUUAGGACUGUUUUUUAAAAAAGGUGUUUGUUAUGAAUAAA
Long non-coding RNA from Lemur catta (Ring-tailed lemur), 1681 nucleotides. RefSeq lists it as uncharacterized. NCBI's taxonomy places the organism in Eukaryota, Metazoa, Chordata, Mammalia, Primates, Lemuridae. The transcript has 3 exons. The record is from RefSeq and is a predicted model, not a curated record.